This is a long non-coding RNA of Amblyraja radiata (thorny skate), 99 nucleotides long. RefSeq lists it as uncharacterized. The transcript has 3 exons. NCBI's taxonomy places the organism in Eukaryota, Metazoa, Chordata, Chondrichthyes, Rajiformes, Rajidae. The record is from RefSeq and is a predicted model, not a curated record.
UCUGACACCAUGGUGGUGAUGACCAUACAAUAACAGAAGCCUUACACCAAGAUAAAGAUCCAAAGACUUUAUUACAUACAUAGCAAGCACGACUUCACA